UACGUAGGGUGCGAGCGUUAAUCGGAUUUACUGGGCGUAAAGGGCGCGUAGGCGGACAGUUUAGUCAGAGGUGAAAGCCCAGGGCUCAACCUUGGAAUUGCCUUUGAUACUGGCUGUCUUGAGUACGGGAGAGGUGAGUGGAACUCCGAGUGUAGAGGUGAAAUUCGUAGAUAUUCGGAAGAACACCAGUGGCGAAGGCGACUCACUGGCCCGUUACUGACGCUGAGGCGCGAAAGCGUGGGGAGCAAACAGG
This 253-nucleotide ribosomal RNA is filed under the name uncultured bacterium. RNAcentral describes it as "partial 16S ribosomal RNA". It matches the Rfam family "Bacterial small subunit ribosomal RNA", at positions 524 to 776 of the family's 1533-position model. The record is from RNAcentral.